Molecule: unclassified non-coding RNA, 196 nt
Filed under: uncultured fungus
Lineage: Eukaryota; Fungi
Description: partial internal transcribed spacer 2
Source: RNAcentral
AACGCAAGUGGCGCUCUGCGCAAGCGGAGCAUGCUUGGCUGAGGGUUGUUUUGGCUAGGGUGGCGGUAUUCAUGUUGGAUUCCGCCUAAGGUCAGGGACGAGCGGGCGGAGCGGAACAGGGCCUUUGUGGCCCUUGUUUGCGGUAUGGCUCCCUUGUGACAACCUCAGAUCAAGCAGGGUUACCCGCCGAACUUAA